Amphiprion ocellaris (clown anemonefish) is the source of this 743-nucleotide long non-coding RNA. Lineage: Eukaryota; Metazoa; Chordata; Actinopteri; Pomacentridae. The record is from Ensembl.
GUGACCGGUGACUGGCUGCUGCAGCCAAUGAUGCGAUUCACAUACGUAUUUACCAUAGACUGUAUAUAAUGGUAUUUACGCAGCUAAUCAACGUCAGGUGUCCUUAUGUGCAGCCACCGUUGUUCUCAUACAUAUGAAUGAGUAGAUAGGACACGCCCCUUUGAGCUGCAUGCUACAGCGAGGCUAAGCUAGUGGGGGCAAAGUUUCAAUGCAUUCCGUUGAUGUAGACGGCGUGAAAACGGAAACAACAAGUAUGCCGGCUCACUGUGCUGCAUACAAUUACACACUGCGUCGUACGAUUGAGACAAGGAAACUUGGAAUGACUUCUCAUAGGUUUCCCAGAGACUAUGGAUUGAGGAGGAAUUGGAAGUUUGUCGGCUUAGACCUGGUGUCAUUCCAUCAGUGUUUAACUUCCCGGCUCAUCUUGGAAGAGUACGUGCCAGAAAGACCACGACCAAGCAGCCUUGAGAUCUUAGACAGCGUCUCCCUGAGACCAAAGAACUACAGACUCUUCACAACCUGCUCAAACUCUUCGUACAGGACCUCACCACACGGAUCAAGAAGGUUUCCUUCUCCUCAUUUCUACUCUGAAGCUCACCUUCUCCUGCUCAAACUGCUGACAAAUGUUUCUGCUGCUCUAAAGUCUGGUCUCCAGAACGUCAUAAAAACUCUCAAAGUCUCUUCUGCUGCAGGUUGCUUUGUAGAACUGUUCCAGAAAACCUCACUAAACCACAUGGAGGAGC